Molecule: ribosomal RNA, 784 nt
Filed under: uncultured Neisseria sp.
Lineage: Bacteria; Pseudomonadati; Pseudomonadota; Betaproteobacteria; Neisseriales; Neisseriaceae
Description: bacterial SSU rRNA
Rfam family: Bacterial small subunit ribosomal RNA
Source: RNAcentral
UCCUGGGAUAACACUGACGUUCAUGCCCGAAAGCGUGGGUAGCAAACAGGAUUAGAUACCCUGGUAGUCCACGCCCUAAACGAUGUCGAUUAGCUGUUGGGCAGCAUGACUGCUUAGUAGCGAAGCUAACGCGUGAAAUCGACCGCCUGGGGAGUACGGUCGCAAGAUUAAAACUCAAAGGAAUUGACGGGGACCCGCACAAGCGGUGGAUGAUGUGGAUUAAUUCGAUGCAACGCGAAGAACCUUACCUGGUCUUGACAUGUACGGAAUCCUCCAGAGACGGAGGAGUGCCUUCGGGAGCCGUAACACAGGUGCUGCAUGGCUGUCGUCAGCUCGUGUCGUGAGAUGUUGGGUUAAGUCCCGCAACGAGCGCAACCCUUGUCAUUAGUUGCCAUCAUUAAGUUGGGCACUCUAAUGAGACUGCCGGUGACAAGCCGGAGGAAGGUGGGGAUGACGUCAAGUCCUCAUGGCCCUUAUGACCAGGGCUUCACACGUCAUACAAUGGUCGGUACAGAGGGUAGCCAAGCCGCGAGGUGGAGCCAAUCUCACAAAACCGAUCGUAGUCCGGAUUGCACUCUGCAACUCGAGUGCAUGAAGUCGGAAUCGCUAGUAAUCGCAGGUCAGCAUACUGCGGUGAAUACGUUCCCGGGUCUUGUACACACCGCCCGUCACACCAUGGGAGUGGGGGAUACCAGAAGUAGGUAGGGUAACCGCAAGGAGCCCGCUUACCACGGUAUGCUUCAUGACUGGGGUGAAGUCGUAACAAGGUAGCCGUAGGGGAACC